AUUGAACGCUGGCGGCAUGCCUUACACAUGCAAGUCGAACGGCAGCACGGGAGCAAUCCUGGUGGCGAGUGGCGAACGGGUGAGUAAAGUAUCGGAACGUGCCCAGUCGUGGGGGAUAACGUAGCGAAAGUUACGCUAAUACCGCAUACGAUCUAUGGAUGAAAGCGGGGGAUCGCAAGACCUCGCGCGAUUGGAGCGGCCGAUAUCAGAUUAGGUAGUUGGUGGGGUAAAGGCUCACCAAGCCGCCGAUCUGUAGCUGGUCUGAGAGGACGCACAGCCACGCUUGGACUGAGCCACGGCCCAGACUCCUACGGGAGGCAGGAGUGGUGAGUUUUGGACAAUGGGCGCAAGCCUGAUCCAGCCAUGCCGCGUGCAGGAUGAAGGCCUUCGGGUUGUAAACUGCUUUUGUACGGAACGAAAAGGUCUGACUUAAUACGUUGGAAUCAUGACGGUACCGUAAGAAUAAGCACCGGCUAACUACGUGCCAGCCGCCGCUGUAA
Molecule: ribosomal RNA, 500 nt
Filed under: uncultured bacterium
Lineage: Bacteria
Description: partial 16S ribosomal RNA
Rfam family: Bacterial small subunit ribosomal RNA
Source: RNAcentral